GACGAACGCUGGCGGCGUGCCUAAUACAUGCAAGUAGAGCGCUGAAGGAGGAGCUUGCUUCUCUGGAUGAGUUGCGAACGGGUGAGUAACGCGUAGGUAACCUGCCUGGUAGCGGGGGAUAACUAUUGGAAACGAUAGCUAAUACCGCAUAACAGUAGAUGUUGCAUGACAUUUGCUUAAAAGGUGCAAUUGCAUCACUACCAGAUGGACCUGCGUUGUAUUAGCUAGUUGGUGGGGUAACGGCUCACCAAGGCGACGAUACAUAGCCGACCUGAGAGGGUGAUCGGCCACACUGGGACUGAGACACGGCCCAGACUCCUACGGGAGGCAGCGGUAGGGAAUCUUCGGCAAUGGACGGAAGUCUGACCGAGCAACGCCGCGUGAGUGAAGAAGGUUUUCGGAUCGUAAAGCUCUGUUGUAAGAGAAGAACGAGUGUGAGAGUGGAAAGUUCACACUGUGACGGUAUCUUACCAGAGAGGGACGGCUAACUACGUGC
This 496-nucleotide ribosomal RNA is filed under the name uncultured Streptococcus sp. Its description in RNAcentral is "bacterial SSU rRNA". It matches the Rfam family "Bacterial small subunit ribosomal RNA", at positions 28 to 508 of the family's 1533-position model. Lineage: Bacteria; Bacillati; Bacillota; Bacilli; Lactobacillales; Streptococcaceae. The record is from RNAcentral.